UAAAUUGAGAGUUUGAUCCUGGCUCAGGACGAACGCUGGCGGCGUGCCUAACACAUGCAAGUCGAGCGAUGAAGCCCUUCGGGGCUGAUUAGCGGCGGACGGGUGAGUAACACGUGGGUAACCUGCCUCAUAGAGGGGGAUAGCCUCCCGAAAGGGAGAUUAAUACCGCAUAACAUAUUUUGGUUGCAUGACCGAAAUAUCAAAGGAGUAAUCCGCUAUGAGAUGGACCCGCGGCGCAUUAGCUAGUUGGUGAGGUAAGGGCUCACCAAGGCGACGAUGCGUAGCCGACCUGAGAGGGUGAUCGGCCACAUUGGAACUGAGACACGGUCCAGACUCCUACGGGAGGCAGCAGUGGGGAAUAUUGCGCAAUGGAGGAAACUCUGACGCAGCAACGCCGCGUGAAUGAUGAAGGCUGA
This 416-nucleotide non-coding RNA is filed under the name Clostridium sp. BL8. RNAcentral describes it as "Bacterial small subunit ribosomal RNA". It matches the Rfam family "Bacterial small subunit ribosomal RNA", at positions 1 to 418 of the family's 1533-position model. The record is from Rfam by way of RNAcentral. Lineage: Bacteria; Bacillati; Bacillota; Clostridia; Eubacteriales; Clostridiaceae.